UGGUUGUGGCAGUGGGCUUGAUGUGUUGCAGCGUAGUCUACAUUUUCCUUUGUGCGUAGUCAAGACUAAGCUGUAUUUCCUGACCCCGAGAGUCAUCCGUGGCUAAUAUGAGCUAAUCGUCCCUGAAUAGAUGACGGAAAACAUGACCAAGACGGGGGAAAGAAGCUCACUCAAAACCACACACAGACAUUAUCCUGGUGACAAAAGACAUACACAAGGACUUAGAAGCUGUGUGGUUAACAUGGCUCGGGUUGGGCGGCCACUCCCCUCCUUCCCCAAUACUCGCUAGGGUUUGGGAGCUGCUGGAAGACAUGUUUGAACUCUCAGACCAAC
Portunus trituberculatus (swimming crab) is the source of this 333-nucleotide long non-coding RNA. RefSeq lists it as uncharacterized. The record is from RefSeq and is a predicted model, not a curated record. The transcript is spliced from 3 exons. Lineage: Eukaryota; Metazoa; Arthropoda; Malacostraca; Decapoda; Portunidae.